UUGAAAAAAUCAACUAUGUGUCUAUGAAUUAUCUCCCCUUUAUGGUUCUUCUUCAUUGAAAACAUGAAGAAACAACAGGAAGUACAAGGAUUAAUGCCCAAAAUAAAGUGCAGACGAAAUGCAGACAUUGAUAAAACCAUUAUAAUGUUGGUAAAAAUAAGAUAUAUCAAGGUAGAUAGUACUAUGGAGUGCAAUUUCUCUCCAAAGUUUGUGAAUUGUGAUAAACUCAUUUGAUGAACCUCUUGCCAAACACUGAAACAGUGAAACACAGGCAGUACCAAAUGUUUGCUAUUUUUUCUGAGAAUGGUCUUAAACCAUCAGUAGCUCUAGAUCUUCACAUCAAUAUUGUAUUUCAAUUAAAUGAAGAAGAAAAAAACAAUUCAAAUUGUGCACGUCGCAUGUUAUGUUAUGCCAACAAAAAGUUUUCAUCCAGAUAUUGACCACAUCAAGGAUUCUGGACUCAAGUCGUUACCUUACAGAAUUAGCCUUAAACUAGCAAGUAGUGGACCGAAGGAAAAGGAUUUUAUUCAUCUUAUUAACUAGACAAUAAUCAUGUUGUACUUUGUUUCUGAAGAAAAUAAAAAUAGAUGUCAAUGAUGCAGUACUUGAAGGUGAAAUGAGGUUAAAUAAACAAGUAGAAAAGGGGAUUUGCCAACAUAUCCAGAAAAGAUGGAAACAACAGAAGAUAGUGAUGUAACACAGGCAAGAAUUUAAGUGAAUGAAACAGCAUCACUUCUAAAAAUAGCAUGGAAUUUUUAUCACAGAAAUAAUCCAGCAGUUUCCAGAUUAUGA
Mytilus trossulus (common blue mussel) is the source of this 792-nucleotide long non-coding RNA. RefSeq lists it as uncharacterized. The transcript is spliced from 5 exons. The record is from RefSeq and is a predicted model, not a curated record. NCBI's taxonomy places the organism in Eukaryota, Metazoa, Mollusca, Bivalvia, Mytilida, Mytilidae.